RNAcentral lists this unclassified non-coding RNA (261 nucleotides) under Hevea brasiliensis (rubber tree). Lineage: Eukaryota; Viridiplantae; Streptophyta; Magnoliopsida; Malpighiales; Euphorbiaceae. The record is from RNAcentral.
GGGGGGGGGGUGUUGCGGAGCCACCACUUUUCCCUUUUCAGCAAAAAUAUCAAAUCCCACUAAUCCCAUGGACCUCCCAUUUUUCUCUGUCUGUAAAAGCUAUAUGAAAAUGUUUUAGAAGAAAAUCAGAGGGAACAUUUUAAUACAAGGAAACCGAUACAGAAACAAAAAAUGUUUGUGAACACAGUUUAAUUGCCAGAUCAUUAGAUAAAGCACAUCAACAACAUUAUCCAUAAGAAUAUAUGCAAAUUUUAAUUUGAU